This 478-nucleotide ribosomal RNA is filed under the name uncultured bacterium. RNAcentral describes it as "partial 16S ribosomal RNA". It matches the Rfam family "Bacterial small subunit ribosomal RNA", at positions 28 to 523 of the family's 1533-position model. The record is from RNAcentral.
GACGAACGCUGGCGGCGUGCUUAACACAUGCGAGUCGAACGGUAAGGCCCUUCGGGGUACACGAGUGGCGAACGGGUGAGUAACACGUGGGUGAUCUGCCCUGCACUUCGGGAUAAGCCUGGGAAACUGGGUCUAAUACCGGAUAGGACCAUUGCCUGCAUGGGUGGUGGUGGAAAGCUUUUGCGGUGUGGGAUGGGCCCGCGGCCUAUCAGCUUGUUGGUGGGGUGAUGGCCUACCAAGGCGACGACGGGUAGCCGGCCUGAGAGGGUAACCGGCCACACUGGGACUGAGAUACGGCCCAGACUCCUACGGGAGGCAGCAGUGGGGAAUAUUGCACAAUGGGCGCAAGCCUGAUGCAGCGACGCCGCGUGAGGGAUGACGGCCUUCGGGUUGUAAACCUCUUUCAGCAUCGACGAAGCGCAAGUGACGGUAGGUGCAGAAGAAGGACCGGCCAACUACGUGCCAGCAGCCGCAGUAA